UUAUGUUCAAACAUCUGAAACUAGAGCUCAAAAUUUAAAAAAAAAAUGUUAAAAACAGGGGGUUGGCCUAUUCCAUGGCUUCUAGAGAAAAAUAAUGAGGGUUGUCACGGGGUAUGAUGAUAUAGGUCUUGUAGAGGAGAAACAGGCGCAUCUUUUGCGCAAGGUAUCGGAGGGCGCUAUGUUCAAAAAUCUGAAACUAGAGCUCAAAAUUAUAAAAAAAAUAUUAAAAAACAGGGGGGUUGGCCUAUUCUAUGGCUUCUAGAGAAAAAUGAUGAGAGGUGUCACUGGGUAUGACUAUAUAGGUCUUGUAGAGGAGAAAUAGGCGCAUCUUUUGCCAAGGUAUCGAAGGGCGCUAUGUUCAAAAAUCUGAAACUAGUGCUCAAAAUAAAAAAAAAGAAAAUGUUAAAAACAGGGGGGUUGGCCUAUUCCAGGGCUUCUAGAGAAAAACAAUGAGGGGUGCCACGGGGUAUGACUAUAUAGGUCUUGUAGAGGAGAAACAGGCGCAUCAUUUGCGCAAGGUAUCGAAGGGCGCUAUGUUAAAAAAUCUGAAACUAGAACUCAAAAUUUAAAAAAAUAUGUUUAAAACAGGGGGGUUGGCCUAUUCCAUGGCUUCUAGAGAAAAAUAAUGAAGCGUGUCACGGGGUAUGACUAUAUAGGUCUUGAAGAGGAGAAACAGGCGCAUAUUUUGUGCAAGGUAUCGAAGGGCGCUAUGUUCAAAAAUCUGAAACUAGAGCUCAAAAUUUAAAAUAAAAAUUGUUAAAAACAGGGGGUUGGCCUAUUCCAUGGCUUCUAGAGACAAAUAAUAAGGGGUGUCACGGGGUAUGACUAUAUAGGUCUUGUAGAGGAGAAACAGGCGCAUCUUUUGCGCAAGGUAUUGAAGGACGCUAUGUUCAAAAAUCUGAAACUAGAACUCAAAAUUAAAAAAAAAAAUGUUAAAAACAGGGGGGUUGGCCUAUUCCAUGGCUUCUAGAGAAAAAUAAUGAGGGGUGUCACGGGGUAUGACUAUACAGAUCUUGUAGAGAAGAAACAGGCGCAUCUUUUGCGCAAGGUAUUGAAGGGCGGUAUGUUAAAAAAUCUGAAACUAGAGCUCAAAACUUAAAAAAAAAUGUUAAAAACAGGGGGGUUGGCCUAUUCCAUGGCUUCUAGAGAAAAACAAUGAGGAGUGUCACUGGGUAUGACUAUAUAGGUCUUGUAGAGGAGAAACAGGCGCAUCUUUUGCGCAAGGUAUCGAAGGGUGCUAUGUUCAAAAAUCUGAAACUAGAGCUCAAAAUUAAAAAAAAUAUGUUAAAAACAGGGGGGUUGGCCUAUUCCAUGGCUUCUAGAGAAAAAUAAUGAGGCGUCCCGGGGUAUGACUAUAUAGGUCUUGAAGAGGAGAAAUAGGCGCAUCUUUUGCCAAGGUAUCGAAGGGCGCUAUGUUCAAAAAUCUGAAACUAGUGCUCAAAAUAAAAAAAAAGAAAAUGUUAAAAACAGGGGGGUUGGCCUAUUCCAGGGCUUCUAGAGAAAAACAAUGGAAGUGCCACGGGGUAUGACUAUAUAGGUCUUGUAGAGGAGAAACAGGCGCAUCAUUUGCGCAAGGUAUCGAAGGGCGCUAUGUUCAAAAAUCUGAAACUAGAACUCAAAAUUUAAAAAAAUAUGUUAAAAACAGGGGGGUUGGCCUAUUCCAUGGCUUCUAGAGAAAAAUAAUGAGGCGUCCCGGGGUAUGACUAUAUAGGUCUUGAAGAGGAGAAACAGGCGCAUAUUUUGUGCAAGGUAUUGAAGGGCGCUAUGUUCAAAAAUCUGAAACUAGAGCUCAAAAUUUAAAAAAGAAAUUGUUAAAAACAGGGGGUUGGCCUAUUCCAUGGCUUCUAGAGAAAAAUAAUAAGGGGUGUCACGGGGUAUGACUAUAUAGGUCUUGUAGAAGAGAAACAGGCGCAUCUUUUGCGCAAGGUAUCGAAGGACGCUAUGUCCAAAAAUCUGAAACUAGAACUCAAAAUUAAAAAAAAAAAUGUUAAAAACAGGGGGAUUGGCCUAUUCCAUGGCUUCUAGAGAAAAAUAAUGAAGGGUGUCACGGGGUAUGACUAUAUAGAUCUUGUAGAGGAGAAACAGGCGCAUAUUCUGUGCAAGGUAUUGAAGGGCGCUAUGUUCAAAAAUCUGAAACUAGAGCUGAAGAUUUAAAAAAAAAGUGUUAAAAACAGGAGGUUUGGCCUAUUCCAUGGCUUCUAGAGAAAAAUGAUGAGGGGUGUCACGGGGUAUGACUAUAUAGGUUUUGUAGAGGAGAAACAGGCGCAUCUUUUGCGCAAGGUAUUGAAGGGCGGUAUGUUCAAAAAUCUGAAACUUGAGCUCAAAAUUUGAAAAAAAUGUUAAAAACAGGGGGGUUGGCCUAUUCCAUGGCUUCUAGAGAAAAAUAAUGAGGGGUGUCACGGGGUAUGACUAUAUAGGUCUUGUAGAGGAGAAACAGGCGCAGCUUCUGCGCAAGGUAUCGAAGGGCGCUAUGUUCAAAAAUCUGAAACUAGAGCUCAAAAUUUAAAAAAAAAAAUGUUAAAAACAGGGGGGUUGGCCUAUUCCAUGGCUUCUAGAGAAAAACAAUGAGGAGUGUCACUGGGUGUGACUAUAUAGGUCUUGUAGAGGAGAAACAGGCGCAUCUUUUGCGCAAGGUAUCGAAGGGCGCUAUGUUCAAAAAUCUGAAACUAGUGCUCAAAAUAAAAAAAAAGAAAAUGUUAAAAACAGGGGGGUUGGCCUAUUCCAGGGCUUCUAGAGAAAAACAAUGGAAGUGCCACGGGGUAUGACUAUAUAGGUCUUGUAGAGGAGAAACAGGCGCAUCAUUUGCGCAAGGUAUCGAAGGGCGCUAUGUUCAAAAAUCUGAAACUAGAGCUCAAAAUUAAAAAAAAUAUGUUAAAAACAGGGGGGUUGGCCUAUUCCAUGGCUUCUAGAGAAAAAUAAUGAGGCGUCCCGGGGUAUGACUAUAUAGGUCUUGAAGAGGAGAAACAGGCGCAUAUUUUGUGCAAGGUAUUGAAGGGCGCUAUGUUCAAAAAUCUGAAACUAGAGCUCAAAAUUUAAAAAAAAAAUUGUUAAAAACAGGGGGUUGGCCUAUUCCAUGGCUUCUAGAGAAAAAUAAUAAGGGGUGUCACGGGGUAUGACUAUAUAGGUCUUGUAGAGGAGAAACAGGCGCAUCUUUUGCGCAAGGUAUCGAAGGACGCUAUGUUCAAAAAUCUGAAACUAGAACUCAAAAUUAAAAAAAAAAAUGUUAAAAACAGGGGGGUUGGCCUAUUCCAUGGCUUCUAGAGAAAAAUAAUGAGGGGUGUCACGGGGUAUGACUAUAUAGAUCUUGUAGAGGAGAAACAGGCGCAUAUUCUGUGCAAGGUAUUGAAGGGCGCUAUGUUCAAAAAUCUGAAACUAGAGCUGAAGAUUUAAAAAAAAAUGUUAAAAACAGGAGGUUUGGCCUAUUCCAUGGCUUCUAGAGAAAAAUAAUGAGGGGUGUCACGGGGAAUGACUAUAUAGGUCUUGUAGAGGAGAAACAGGCGCAUCUUUUGCGCAAGGUAUUGAAGGGCGGUAUGUUCAAAAAUUUGAAACUAGAGCUCAAAAUUUAAAGAAAAAAUGUUAAAAACAGGGGGGUUGGCCUAUUCCAUGGCUUCUAGAGAAAAACAAUGAGGAGUGUCACGGGGUAUGACUAUAUCGGUCUUGUAGAGGAGAAACAGGCGCAUCUUUUGCACAAGGUAUCGAAGGGUGCUAUGUUAAAAAUUUAAAAUUAGAGCUCAAAAUUAAAAAAAAAAUGUUAAAAACAGUGGGUUGGCCUAUACCAUGGCUUCUACAGAAAAAUAAUGGUGGGUAGUAGUGUAAAAAGGAGGAUUCUGCUGCAUUUGCCAUUUUAUAAGCGCAAAUCCUGCAUAGGGACCCCAACCUCAAACAUAAAAUGCAAAUUCAUUGUGUUUCAACUAGUCUAAGGGUAGAAACAAGGAUAUGGCUUUUUGUAAACAAUGGUAGAUACACCUUAAAGGGAAGUAAUCCUAGGGGUAGAUACAAAAAUAUGGCUUUCGUACAGAAGAUGGAGGAACUCAGAAGUUAAAAAAUCGUAGACGACGAUUUUAUUAAUGACAAUGUUUUUAAAGGAAAAGGCAAAGGACCAGAGCGUGGAAAUUCUAAAAUGGAAGGAACUCCCAACCUGGGUAAAAUAUAAAAUUCUAGAAGUGGUAGAAGUAGAUGGGAAGUUUGGGAGGAGUAAGAUCUUCACCUUGAAAAACAGAGAAGGAGAAACGACAAGGGUAUGGGCCUGCAGUAGUCUGAACAGAGAGAAGGAACCCUUGGAUGGAGCCCUCGUGAGAAGUAUAGGCUUAAAAGUUAGUAAAAUGACCAAACAGGAGUACUUUUCUUGCGAUCUUGUAAGAAAUUAAUUAAAAAAAAAAAAUAAAAAAUGGGUUGGAUGGGGUACAAAAAAAAUUUCCAUCCGAUAUUUCUGCCGGUUCGGAAAUUUUUUUUUUUUUUUUUUUUGUGUUUUUUUUAUGCUUGAAACGGAGCACAUCGUGAAGUGAAGCAGAACGGAACACAUCGUGAAACGAUGUGUGUAGUGAAGCGUAAUGAAAUUAUGUGUGACGUUUUUACGGCGCAUGCGCAUUAAGGUCCUCACUAAAAGUGGUGGAAUGUUGUCGCAGCUGAUCUUUCUCAUCAUAGUAGUUCUUGAGGCAGCUUGUGAUCUUACCAAACUCAGCAUCAUCAAUUUGUUCAUCAUCAGUCAAAGCAGUACUAAUACAUUGUUCAACCAAGGAUUUUGUGGACUGUGCCAAUCGCAAGCUGUCGCGGUGUUUUUUCUUCUUUUUCAUGAUACGCCUUGAGAUCAGUGUGAGUACCAUCACGCCAGUGGCACUCAAGCAAGCAAGGGAUCCUAGGGGAAGGGAGGCUAUAAUACCUAUACCGGUCAAAGCUGAACCCAUGGUGCAGCUGUCAACAUCAAACUGGCUACGGAACACACACCCUGUGCUAUAGACACUACUUUAUCGAGUCGUUUGUAGAUCUUCAAGGUACGUUGAUACUUAAGAAUAUCCGCGUUGAGUUGGUCUUCCAUACAUUCGACUCUGGUCUGCCGGUAACCAGAAACUAGAGCUCAAAAUUAAAAAAAAAGAAGUUAAAAACAGGGGGGUUGGCCUAUUCCAUGGCUUGUAGAGAAAAAUAAUGAGGGGUGUCACGGGGUUUGACUAUAUAGGUAUUGUAGAGAAGAAAUAGGCGCAUCUUUUGCGCAAGGUAUCGAAGGGCGCUAGGUUCAAAAAUCUGAAACUAGAGCUCAAAAUUAAAAAAAAAGUGUUAA
This is a long non-coding RNA of Mytilus californianus (California mussel), 5275 nucleotides long. RefSeq lists it as uncharacterized. The record is from RefSeq and is a predicted model, not a curated record. The transcript has 3 exons. Lineage: Eukaryota; Metazoa; Mollusca; Bivalvia; Mytilida; Mytilidae.